This is a long non-coding RNA of Cimex lectularius (bed bug), 605 nucleotides long. RefSeq lists it as uncharacterized. The record is from RefSeq and is a predicted model, not a curated record. The transcript is spliced from 4 exons. Lineage: Eukaryota; Metazoa; Arthropoda; Insecta; Hemiptera; Cimicidae.
GAAACUCUAAAAUUUGAUUAGCCUUAUUAAUUAUGAAGUGCAUUGAAAGUUAAAUAGCGCAGGUGAUGCCAAGGUCUUUAAUGGCAGCUUGUACAAUUGGAUGUCUUGUAAGAUUUUUGCAGAUGCUAAACGGAAGAUAGCAAUUGAGACAUUCAGGUUAUCAGCAAAGAGGGAGAACUUAACUAAAGUAUUAAGUAAAAACUAGGAGAAAGAUCAUUAGCAUAUACUUUGAAAAGAAAUGGGUCAAAUAACGACCCCUGAGGUAUACCGGACAAAACUGCUAUUCUUUUAUAAAUUACUGGAUUGUUUCAGUUUGGUAGAUAGCAUAUAGGAGUUAAACAAGUUGAAGAGAGGACAUACACGACUUAGGCAAGUUCACCAGAUUAUAGUUCAAAUACUGGUGAGAGGAGAUCCUGGCAUAAAGAAAGUGUAUAAACAGAAAAAUAUUAUUCUCCGGGGAAAUGACUGGAACCACCGAGCGAAAGGGAAAUCAGGAGGAAGACAAAAAUUAUUUUUUCUGAAAUUUUGUCUUUGGUUUAAAUAUAAAUAAAUUCAUAAUAAUAAGAAUCUAAUUCAGUAAUUGCUCAACAUAUACAACCCAACGC